Molecule: long non-coding RNA, 906 nt
Organism: Dermacentor albipictus
Lineage: Eukaryota; Metazoa; Arthropoda; Arachnida; Ixodida; Ixodidae
Source: RefSeq, a predicted model, not a curated record
CCUCGAGUUCUUCUCCCCUGUGCCUUGACAAAUACGCUCAUGCACACCCACGUUGUCCUCUUCUUCGAGUACAGGCGCGGCAUUUGCGUCCCUCCGAAGGAAGCAUCGGCUCGAUGCGCAAUUUAAGCGUAUGAGGGCAGUGUAUAAUGGCAAAGAAUUAAAGAUGAAAAAAACGAAAAAGAAAAAGACAAACAAAAGAUCAAAAGUUACUUCGACAGGUACGUACGGCUUCAUCCUUAACUCAUGCACCACUUCGGGUAAAGCUUGCGGCGACUGGAACUAUCGUCACUGUCAGGAACGACCUCAUAAUUCACGUCGCUCAGGCAGCGGAUCACUUUGUACAGCCCGAAGUACCGUUGUACGAGCUUUUCGGAAAGUCCACGAUGGCGUAUGGGUACCCAGACCCAUACAUUGUCGCCAGGAGUGUAGAAAACGGACCUGUGUCGAAGAUCGCAUCGUUUCGCAUCUUGUUCUUGCUGAAUGCAGAUACGUACAUGAGCAAGCUGUCUGGCUUCUUCAGUGCGCUGGGUAAUUUCAUCAACGUCGGUAGGUUUGAGGCUUGUGCUUCUGAAGUGAGCGGCAAGUACCAAGACCGUGUUGCUGCCUGCUCGAGGAUCGGGCGUUUAUCAUCAACGCAUCGCAGACUUGCCUUCUGCAAGAUGACCUCAACAUGACCGAAUCGACGCGCCUGCAAUCUACGCAAGUUUAAAGCAAUCAGCGAACUGUUAUCGCUUCCUCUGGGGGCGGUGUAUUCGCCAGAGCAUUUUGGUCAUUCUGGCAGCAGCGGCGACGGCGUACGGACUGGACCUAACUAGCUUCCUGCAAUUUUUCAGGUUUUGGAAUAGCAUUCAGCCCAGAAAGAAUGCGACAUCUCUAACAAAUUUCGAUGAUGAAGCUAUACGCAGA